AGAAUGAACGCUGGCGGCAUGCCUAACACAUGCAAGUCGAACGAAUUACCUUCGGGUAGUUAGUGGCGCACGGGUGCGUAACGCGUGGGAAUCUGCCCCUUGGUUCGGAAUAACAGCGAGAAAUUGCUGCUAAUACCGGAUGAUGACGUAAGUCCAAAGAUUUAUCGCCAAGGGAUGAGCCCGCGUAGGAUUAGGUAGUUGGUGUGGUAAAGGCGCACCAAGCCGACGAUCCUUAGCUGGUCUGAGAGGAUGAUCAGCCACACUGGGACUGAGACACGGCCCAGACUCCUACGGGAGGCAGCAGUGGGGAAUAUUGGACAAUGGGCGAAAGCCUGAUCCAGCAAUGCCGCGUGAGUGAUGAAGGCCUUAGGUUGUAAAGCUCUUUACCGGAUGAUAUGACAGUACCGGAGAAUAAGCUCCGGCUAACUCCGUGCCAGCAGCCGC
Molecule: ribosomal RNA, 444 nt
Filed under: uncultured bacterium
Lineage: Bacteria
Description: SSU rRNA
Rfam family: Bacterial small subunit ribosomal RNA
Source: RNAcentral